UAUAUUAUAUAUAUAUAUAUUAUAUAUAUAUAUAUGCGAUUAUCGGUUUUCUCGCCAAGUUUCUCGGAUUUUUUUUCAACCACGAUGAAUGUUAGUGUGAUUCUCUGAGCGGGAAGCGGCUCUCAUAUGUUGUACGUGGAUGUAGAUGACUCGGUUUACCGAUAUCCAAAUGAGAAUCACACAGGCUGUGUGGC
This 194-nucleotide small nucleolar RNA is filed under the name Penaeus chinensis. Its description in RNAcentral is "small nucleolar RNA U3". It matches the Rfam family "Small nucleolar RNA U3". Rfam says of the family: Small nucleolar RNAs (snoRNAs) are involved in the processing and modification of rRNA in the nucleolus. There are two main classes of snoRNAs: the box C/D class, and the box H/ACA class. Lineage: Eukaryota; Metazoa; Arthropoda; Malacostraca; Decapoda; Penaeidae. The record is from RNAcentral.